RNAcentral lists this transfer RNA (79 nucleotides) under Cutaneotrichosporon oleaginosum. Its description in RNAcentral is "Trichosporon oleaginosus tRNA". It matches the Rfam family "tRNA". From Rfam's summary of the family: Transfer RNA (tRNA) molecules are approximately 80 nucleotides in length. Their secondary structure includes four short double-helical elements and three loops (D, anti-codon, and T loops). Lineage: Eukaryota; Fungi; Basidiomycota; Tremellomycetes; Trichosporonales; Trichosporonaceae. The record is from Rfam by way of RNAcentral.
AUCGCUAUAGCUUAGUGGAAGAGCGCGGGGCUCAUAUCAUGACACCCCGAGGUCGGUUGAUCGAGACAACCUGGCGAUA